AUUGAACGCUGGCGGCAGGCUUAACACAUGCAAGUCGAGCGGGGUGAUGGUGCUUGCACUAUCACUUAGCGGCGGACGGGUGAGUAAUGCUUAGGAAUCUGCCUAUUAGUGGGGGACAACAUCUCGAAAGGGAUGCUAAUACCGCAUACGUCCUACGGGAGAAAGCAGGGGAUCACUUGUGACCUUGCGCUAGUAGAUGAGCCUAAGUCGGAUUAGCUAGUUGGUGGGGUAAAGGCCUACCAAGGCGACGAUCUGUAGCGGGUCUGAGAGGAUGAGCCGCCAGACUGGGACUGAGACACGGCCCAGACUCCUACGGAGGCAGCAGGGGGGAAUAUUGGACAAUGGGGGGAACCCUGAUCCAGCCAUGCCGCGUGUGUGAAGAAGGCCUUAUGGUUGUAAAGCACUUUAAGCGAGGAGGAGGCUCUUUUGGUUAAUACCCAAGAUGAGUGGACGUUACUCGCAGAAUAAGCACCGGCUAACUCUGUGCCAGCCGCCGCAGUAA
RNAcentral lists this ribosomal RNA (502 nucleotides) under uncultured bacterium. RNAcentral describes it as "partial 16S ribosomal RNA". It matches the Rfam family "Bacterial small subunit ribosomal RNA", at positions 30 to 523 of the family's 1533-position model. The record is from RNAcentral.